Molecule: transfer RNA, 72 nt
Filed under: Camelus bactrianus (Bactrian camel)
Lineage: Eukaryota; Metazoa; Chordata; Mammalia; Artiodactyla; Camelidae
Also listed under: 2 other names
Rfam family: tRNA
About the family: Transfer RNA (tRNA) molecules are approximately 80 nucleotides in length. Their secondary structure includes four short double-helical elements and three loops (D, anti-codon, and T loops).
Source: Rfam by way of RNAcentral
GAGGGUGUAGCUCAGUGGUAGAGCACAUGCUUAGCAUGCACAAGGUCCUGGGUUCAAGCCUCUGAACCUCCA